UCCUACGGGGGGCAGCAGUGAGGAAUAUUGGUCAAUGGUCGGGAGACUGAACCAGCCAAGCCGCGUGAGGGAUGAAGGUACAGAGUAUCGUAAACCUCUUUUGUCAGGGAACAAAGGCGGGGACGUGUCCCCGGAUGAGUGUACCUGAAGAAAAAGCAUCGGCUAACUCUGUGCCAGCAGCCGCGGUAAUACGGAGGAUGCGAGCGUUAUCCGGAUUUAUUGGGUUUAAAGGGUGCGCAGGCGGUCUGUUAAGUCAGCGGUCAAAGCCCGGGGCUCAACCCCGGCCCGCCGUUGAAACUGGCAGG
Molecule: ribosomal RNA, 305 nt
Filed under: uncultured bacterium
Lineage: Bacteria
Description: bacterial SSU rRNA
Rfam family: Bacterial small subunit ribosomal RNA
Source: RNAcentral